UACGUAGGGGGCAAGCGUUGUCCGGAAUCAUUGGGCGUAAAGCGCGUGUAGGCGGCUCGGUAAGUCUGCUGUGAAAGUCCAGGGCUCAACCCUGGGAUGCCGGUGGAUACUGUCGAGCUCGAGUCCGGAAGAGGCGAGUGGAAUUCCUGGUGUAGCGGUGAAAUGCGCAGAUAUCAGGAGGAACACCAAUGGCGAAGGCAGCUCGCUGGGACGUGACUGACGCUGAGACGCGAAGGCGUGGGGAGCAAACAGG
This 253-nucleotide ribosomal RNA is filed under the name uncultured bacterium. Its description in RNAcentral is "partial 16S ribosomal RNA". It matches the Rfam family "Bacterial small subunit ribosomal RNA", at positions 524 to 776 of the family's 1533-position model. The record is from RNAcentral.